GACGAACGCUGGCGGCGUGCCUAAUACAUGCAAGUCGAGCGAAGCGGCGGAUGGGUGAGUAACGCGUGGGUAACCUGCACGUAAGGCUGGGAUUCCCUUUGGAAACAGAUGCUAAUACCGGAUACUAAAGGAUGGACCUGCGAUGCAUUAGCUCGUUGGUAAGGUAACGGCUUACCAAGGCGAUGAUGCAUAGCCGGGUUGAGAGACUGAUCGGCAACAUUGGGACUGAGACACGGCCCCAACUCCUACGUGAGGCAGCAGUAGGGAAGCUUCCACAAUGGACGAAAGUCUGAGGGAGCAACGCCGCGUGAGUGAAGAAGGUUUUCGGAUCGUAAAGCUCUGUUGUUGGUGAAGCGGUAAUCAACCAGAAAGUCACGGCUAACUACGUGCCAGCAGCCGCGGUAAUUC
RNAcentral lists this ribosomal RNA (408 nucleotides) under uncultured bacterium. RNAcentral describes it as "partial 16S ribosomal RNA". It matches the Rfam family "Bacterial small subunit ribosomal RNA", at positions 28 to 526 of the family's 1533-position model. The record is from RNAcentral.